GGUUUGUGGCUCAGUGGUAGAGUGCUUGCCUAGCAUGUGUGAGGCCCUGAGUUCGAUCCUCAGCACCA
This 68-nucleotide transfer RNA is filed under the name Marmota monax (woodchuck). RNAcentral's name for it is "tRNA.Ala". The stretch from base 5 to 65 matches the Rfam family "tRNA", at positions 6 to 65 of the family's 71-position model. Rfam says of the family: Transfer RNA (tRNA) molecules are approximately 80 nucleotides in length. Their secondary structure includes four short double-helical elements and three loops (D, anti-codon, and T loops). Further hydrogen bonds mediate the characteristic L-shaped molecular structure. tRNAs have two regions of fundamental functional importance: the anti-codon, which is responsible for specific mRNA codon recognition, and the 3' end, to which the tRNAs corresponding amino acid is attached (by aminoacyl-tRNA synthetases). tRNAs cope with the degeneracy of the genetic code in two manners: having more than one tRNA (with a specific anti-codon) for a particular amino acid; and 'wobble' base-pairing, i.e. permitting non-standard base-pairing at the 3rd anti-codon position. The record is from RNAcentral. Lineage: Eukaryota; Metazoa; Chordata; Mammalia; Rodentia; Sciuridae.